GAUGAACGCUGGCGGCGUGCCUAACACAUGCAAGUCGAGCGAAGCGCCUUACUUGAUUUCUUCGGGAUGAAAGUAUUGUGACUGAGCGGCGGACGGGUGAGUAACGCGUGAGCAAUCUGCCUUUCAGAGGGGGAUAACAGCCGGAAACGGCUGCUAAUACCGCAUAAUGCAUUGGAUUCGCAUGUUUCUGAUGCCAAAGAUUUUAUCGCUGAAAGAUGAGCUCGCGUCUGAUUAGCUAGUUGGCGGGGUAACGGCCCACCAAGGCGACGAUCAGUAGCCGGACUGAGAGGUUGAACGGCCACAUUGGGACUGAGACACGGCCCAG
RNAcentral lists this ribosomal RNA (325 nucleotides) under uncultured bacterium. RNAcentral describes it as "bacterial SSU rRNA". It matches the Rfam family "Bacterial small subunit ribosomal RNA", at positions 28 to 334 of the family's 1533-position model. The record is from RNAcentral.